Molecule: ribosomal RNA, 253 nt
Filed under: uncultured bacterium
Lineage: Bacteria
Description: partial 16S ribosomal RNA
Rfam family: Bacterial small subunit ribosomal RNA
Source: RNAcentral
UACGUAGGGUGCAAGCGUUAAUCGGAAUUAUUGGGCGUAAAGCGUGCGCAGGCGGUUGUGUAAGACAGAUGUGAAAUCCCCGGGCUCAACCUGGGAACUGCAUUUGUGACUGCACAGCUGGAGUGCGGCAGAGGGGGAUGGAAUUCCGCGUGUAGCAGUGAAAUGCGUAGAUAUGCGGAGGAACACCGAUGGCGAAGGCAAUCCCCUGGGCCUGCACUGACGCUCAUGCACGAAAGCGUGGGGAGCAAACAGG